This 316-nucleotide unclassified non-coding RNA is filed under the name Loktanella sp. DSM 29012. Its description in RNAcentral is "Long range pseudoknot". Lineage: Bacteria; Pseudomonadati; Pseudomonadota; Alphaproteobacteria; Rhodobacterales; Roseobacteraceae. The record is from RNAcentral.
ACCGAUGAUCACGACUACGGCGUCAAGAUGAAGAACGUCUACAAGUUCCUUGAAAACGGGGACAAGGUGAAAAUCACCCUGCGUUUCCGUGGCCGCGAAAUGGCCCACCAGGAACUGGGUCGCGCCCUGCUGGAACGUGUGGCCGAGGACACCAAGGAACACGGCAAGGUCGAAAACUUUCCCAAGAUGGAAGGCCGCCAGAUGGUCAUGUUGAUCGGACCGCUGCCCAAGUAAGCGAUCCAUAUGGCAAAGUUCAGGGGUCAGCGCAUCGGCGCUGACCCCUUUUUCAUUGCGACAGGCCCAUAUUCAGCGGGCA